UACGGGGGGGGCAAGCGUUGUUCGGAAUUACUGGGCGUAAAGGGCUCGUAGGCGGCCAACUAAGUCAGACGUGAAAUCCCUCGGCUUAACCGGGGAACUGCGUCUGAUACUGGAUGGCUUGAGUUCGGGAGAGGGAUGCGGAAUUCCAGGUGUAGCGGUGAAAUGCGUAGAUAUCUGGAGGAACACCGGUGGCGAAGGCGGCAUCCUGGACCAACACUGACGCUGAGUGAGCGAAAGCCAGGGGAGCAAACGGG
This 254-nucleotide ribosomal RNA is filed under the name uncultured bacterium. RNAcentral's name for it is "partial 16S ribosomal RNA". It matches the Rfam family "Bacterial small subunit ribosomal RNA", at positions 524 to 776 of the family's 1533-position model. The record is from RNAcentral.